RNAcentral lists this ribosomal RNA (404 nucleotides) under Rhizobium leguminosarum. RNAcentral describes it as "bacterial SSU rRNA". It matches the Rfam family "Bacterial small subunit ribosomal RNA", at positions 19 to 453 of the family's 1533-position model. Lineage: Bacteria; Pseudomonadati; Pseudomonadota; Alphaproteobacteria; Hyphomicrobiales; Rhizobiaceae. The record is from RNAcentral.
CUGGCUCAGAACGAACGCUGGCGGCAGGCUUAACACAUGCAAGUCGAGCGCCCCGCAAGGGGAGCGGCAGACGGGUGAGUAACGCGUGGGAAUCUACCCUUGACUACGGAAUAACGCAGGGAAACUUGUGCUAAUACCGUAUGUGUCCUUCGGGAGAAAGAUUUAUCGGUCAAGGAUGAGCCCGCGUUGGAUUAGCUAGUUGGUGGGGUAAAGGCCUACCAAGGCGACGAUCCAUAGCUGGUCUGAGAGGAUGAUCAGCCACAUUGGGACUGAGACACGGCCCAAACUCCUACGGGAGGCAGCAGUGGGGAAUAUUGGACAAUGGGCGCAAGCCUGAUCCAGCCAUGCCGCGUGAGUGAUGAAGGCCCUAGGGUUGUAAAGCUCUUUCACCGGAGAAGAUAAUG